UGCCUACGGGACGCAGCAGUAGGGAAUCUUCCACAAUGGGCGCAAGCCUGAUGGAGCAACACCGCGUGAGUGAAGAAAGGUUUCGGCUCGUAAAGCUCUGUUGUUGGAGAAGAACGUGCGUGAGAGCAACUGUUCACGCAGUGACGGGAUCCAACCAGAAAGUCACGGCUAACUACGUGCCAGCAGCCGCGGGAAUACGUAGGUGGCGAGCGUUAUCCGGAUUUAUUGGGCGUAAAGCGAGUGCAGGCGG
RNAcentral lists this ribosomal RNA (250 nucleotides) under uncultured bacterium. RNAcentral describes it as "partial 16S ribosomal RNA". It matches the Rfam family "Bacterial small subunit ribosomal RNA", at positions 335 to 578 of the family's 1533-position model. The record is from RNAcentral.